AGCGCGGUGGGGUAGCUAGGUUGGCCCACAGGGCUCAUAACCCUGGGAUCGGUGGUUCGAAUCCACCCCGCGCUACCA
RNAcentral lists this transfer RNA (78 nucleotides) under Candidatus Heimdallarchaeota archaeon. RNAcentral's name for it is "tRNA-Met". It matches the Rfam family "tRNA". Rfam says of the family: Transfer RNA (tRNA) molecules are approximately 80 nucleotides in length. Their secondary structure includes four short double-helical elements and three loops (D, anti-codon, and T loops). Further hydrogen bonds mediate the characteristic L-shaped molecular structure. tRNAs have two regions of fundamental functional importance: the anti-codon, which is responsible for specific mRNA codon recognition, and the 3' end, to which the tRNAs corresponding amino acid is attached (by aminoacyl-tRNA synthetases). tRNAs cope with the degeneracy of the genetic code in two manners: having more than one tRNA (with a specific anti-codon) for a particular amino acid; and 'wobble' base-pairing, i.e. permitting non-standard base-pairing at the 3rd anti-codon position. The record is from RNAcentral. RNAcentral also lists the same sequence under 2 other names. Lineage: Archaea; Promethearchaeati; Candidatus Heimdallarchaeota.